RNAcentral lists this ribosomal RNA (117 nucleotides) under Paramormyrops kingsleyae. Lineage: Eukaryota; Metazoa; Chordata; Actinopteri; Osteoglossiformes; Mormyridae. The record is from RNAcentral.
GCCAGCAGCCAUACCACCUGCAGAUCAGACUAGAUAAUCUACCUGUAGCUAAGCAGGUUUGGGCCUGGCCAGUACUUUGAUGGGAGACCAACUAGGAAAACUGGUUUGCUGCUGGAA